AUUAAGAAAUUUUAUAUCUUUAUUUUCCAUGUAUUUAUCUAUAUUUAUUUUUAUCUGUUUUUCUAGUAACUGCAUAUUUUUUAUAUCUUUUUUCUAAAAAUUUUAUGUAACUUAUCAUCGUAAGUAUUUAUAAGAGUAGUUAGGUAGUUGUGGUAUAUAAUUUAUUCUAGUCAUGUAAUAUUUACCAAAAGCUUUUUCUAAUAUGAUUUUUC
This 212-nucleotide long non-coding RNA is filed under the name Capsicum annuum. RNAcentral describes it as "long non-coding RNA (CANN_LNC020944)". Lineage: Eukaryota; Viridiplantae; Streptophyta; Magnoliopsida; Solanales; Solanaceae. The record is from RNAcentral.